Molecule: long non-coding RNA, 248 nt
Filed under: Gossypium raimondii (Peruvian cotton)
Lineage: Eukaryota; Viridiplantae; Streptophyta; Magnoliopsida; Malvales; Malvaceae
Description: long non-coding RNA (GRAI_LNC003619)
Source: RNAcentral
AAGGAUAUAAAGGUUCCAGAUGCGUAUGCAUCAAAUAUAUCUCGAUGUGUUAGUGUUAAAGAUCGAAGACUAUAUUCGCUAAAAUCACAUGACUAUCACAUCUUGAUGCAAGAUUUACUGCCAGUUGCUCUACGAUGUUGUAUUUCGAAGAAGGUGACGUCUUGUAUAAUUGAACUAUCUAAUAUAAUGAAAGCCAUUUGUGGCAAAGUUUUGGAUGUUCAAGAACUUCAGAAGGUACAGGAUCGAGC